CCUACGGGUGGCAGCAGUAGGGAAUCUUUCACAAUGGGCGAAAGCCUGAUGGAGCAACGCCGCGUGCAGGAUGAAGGCCUUCGGGUUGUAAACUGCUUUUAUAAGCGAGGAAUAUGAUGGUAACUUAUGAAUAAGGAUCGGCUAACUACAUCCCAGCAGCCGCGGUCAUACGUAGGAUCCGAGCAUUAUCCGGAGUGACUGGGUGUAAAGAGUUGCGUAGGUGGGAUAAUAAGUAGCUAGUGAAAUCUGGUGGCUCAACCAUUCAGACUAUUAGCGAAACGGUUAAGCUCGAGACCGUUAGGGGUAAGUGGAAUUUGUGGUGUAGGAGUGAAAGGCGUAGAGAUUAGAAAGAACACCAAUAGCGUAGGCAGGUUACUGGGACGGUUCUGACACUAAGGCACGAAAGCGUAGGGAGCAAACGGGAUUAGAUACCCUAGUAGUC
RNAcentral lists this ribosomal RNA (442 nucleotides) under uncultured bacterium. RNAcentral's name for it is "partial 16S ribosomal RNA". It matches the Rfam family "Bacterial small subunit ribosomal RNA", at positions 338 to 795 of the family's 1533-position model. The record is from RNAcentral.